This 253-nucleotide ribosomal RNA is filed under the name uncultured bacterium. Its description in RNAcentral is "partial 16S ribosomal RNA". It matches the Rfam family "Bacterial small subunit ribosomal RNA", at positions 524 to 776 of the family's 1533-position model. The record is from RNAcentral.
UACGUAGGGUGCAAGCGUUGUCCGGAAUUAUUGGGCGUAAAGAGCUCGUAGGCGGUUUGUCGCGUCUGCUGUGAAAACUCGGGGCUUAACUCCGGGCCUGCAGUGGGUACGGGCAGACUAGAGUGCGGUAGGGGAGACUGGAAUUCCUGGUGUAGCGGUGAAAUGCGCAGAUAUCAAGUGGAACACCAGUGGCGAAGGCGAGUCCCUGGACAAUACCUGACACUGAGGCACGAAAGCUAGGGGAGCAAACAGG